This 253-nucleotide ribosomal RNA is filed under the name uncultured bacterium. Its description in RNAcentral is "partial 16S ribosomal RNA". It matches the Rfam family "Bacterial small subunit ribosomal RNA", at positions 524 to 776 of the family's 1533-position model. The record is from RNAcentral.
UACGUAGGGUGCGAGCGUUGUCCGGAAUUACUGGGCGUAAAGAGCUCGUAGGUGGUUUGUCGCGUUGUUCGUGAAAACUCACAGCUUAACUGUGGGCGUGCGGGCGAUACGGGCAGACUGGAGUACUGCAGGGGAGACUGGAAUUCCUGGUGUAGCGGUGGAAUGCGCAGAUAUCAGGAGGAACACCGGUGGCGAAGGCGGGUCUCUAGGCAGUAACUGACGCUGAGGAGCGAAAGCGUGGGGAGCGAACAGG